Molecule: ribosomal RNA, 401 nt
Filed under: uncultured bacterium
Lineage: Bacteria
Description: bacterial SSU rRNA
Rfam family: Bacterial small subunit ribosomal RNA
Source: RNAcentral
UCGGGAAUUUUGGGCAAUGGGCGAAAGCCUGACCCAGCAACGCCGCGUGAGGGAUGAAGUAUUUCGGUAUGUAAACCUCGAAAGAAUGGGAAGAAUAAAUGACGGUACCAUUUAUAAGCUCCGGCUAACUACGUGCCAGCAGCCGCGGUAAUACGUAGGGAGCAAGCGUUGAUCGGAUUUACUGGGCGUAAAGGGCGCGUAGGCGGCGCGGUAAGUCACUUGUGAAAUCUCUGAGCUUAACUCAGAACGGCCAAGUGAUACUGCUAUGCUAGAGUGCGGAAGAGGCAACCGGAAUUCUUGGUGUAGCGGUGAAAUGCGUAGAUAUCAAGAGGAACACCUGAGGCGAAGGCGGGUUGCUGGGCCGACACUGACGCUGAUGCGCGAAAGCCAGGGGAGCAAAC